UCGCCUGUUUAUCAAAAACAUGUCUUUUUGUUUUAUAAUAUAAAGUUUAGCCUGCCCAAUGAAUUUUUAAAUGGCUGCAGUAUUUUGACUGUACUAAGGUAGCAUAAUCAAUAGUUUUUUAAUUGAAAGCUGGAAUGAAAGGCUGGACGAGAAAGAAACUGUCUCUUUAUAAAUAUAUUAAAAUUUUAUUUUUAAGUUAAAAAGCUUAAAUUAAAUUAAAAGACGAGAAGACCCUAUAGAGUUUUAUAUAAAUAUUAAAAAUUUAUUUAUAGAAUUUUAAAUAAAUUUUUAAUAUUUUUAUUUUAUUGGGGUGAUGAAAAAAUUUAAUAAACUUUUUUUUUAAAAAAACAUAAAUGUAUGAAUUUUUGAUCCAAAAAUAUUUGAUUAAAAGAUUAAAUUACCUUAGGGAUAACAGCGUAAUUUUUUUAAAGAGUUCUUAUUGAUAAAAAAGUUUGCGACCUCGAUGUUGGAUUAAAAUUUUAUUUUAGGUGAAGAAGCUAUAAAAUUUGGUCUGUUCGACCAUUAAAAUUUUACAUGAUCUGAGUUCAAACCGGAGA
RNAcentral lists this ribosomal RNA (557 nucleotides) under Sinophilus yukoae. RNAcentral's name for it is "partial 16S ribosomal RNA". It matches the Rfam family "Bacterial large subunit ribosomal RNA", at positions 1796 to 2622 of the family's 2925-position model. The record is from RNAcentral. Lineage: Eukaryota; Metazoa; Arthropoda; Insecta; Coleoptera; Staphylinidae.